GCGAGGAUCCUUAGCUAGGAUAGAAUGCGCGUGACCGGCUCAGAGAUGCAGUUUUCGUUCGGGACACAAAGCAAGGUGCUGCAUGGCCGUCGUCAGCUCGUGCCGUGAGGUGUUGGGUUAAGUCCCGCAACGAGCGCAACCCCUAUGUUUAGUUGCCAGCAUGUAAUGAUGGGGACUCUAGACAGACUGCCUGCGCAAGCAGUGAGGAAGGCGGGGACGACGUCAGGUCAUCAUGGCCCUUACGCCUAGGGCGACACACGUGCUACAAUGGACGGUACAGCGGGUAGCUACUGGGCGACCAGAUGCCAAUCUCGAAAAGCCGUUCUCAGUUCGGAUCGGAGUCUGCAACUCGACUCCGUGAAGCUGGAAUCACUAGUAAUCGCGCAUCAGCCAUGGCGCGGUGAAUACGUUCCCGGGCCUUGUACACACCGCCCGUCAAGCCAUGGAAGUUUGGUAGACCUGAAGCUGGUGCUCGUCACAGAAGCCAGUAGGUAGAUAAUUUCUGACCCUC
RNAcentral lists this ribosomal RNA (511 nucleotides) under uncultured bacterium. RNAcentral describes it as "bacterial SSU rRNA". It matches the Rfam family "Bacterial small subunit ribosomal RNA", at positions 961 to 1476 of the family's 1533-position model. The record is from RNAcentral.